RNAcentral lists this ribosomal RNA (253 nucleotides) under uncultured bacterium. RNAcentral's name for it is "partial 16S ribosomal RNA". It matches the Rfam family "Bacterial small subunit ribosomal RNA", at positions 524 to 776 of the family's 1533-position model. The record is from RNAcentral.
UACAGAGGGGGCAAGCGUUGUUCGGAAUUACUGGGCGUAAAGGGCGCGUAGGCGGCCUUCUAAGUCGAACGUGAAAUCCCCGGGCUCAACCCGGGAACUGCGUCCGAUACUGGAAGGCUUGAAUCCGGGAGAGGGAUGCGGAAUUCCAGGUGUAGCGGUGAAAUGCGUAGAUAUCUGGAGGAAUACCGGUGGCGAAGGCGGGUCUCUGGGCCGAUACUGACGCUGAGGAGCGAAAGCGUGGGGAGCGAACAGG